RNAcentral lists this unclassified non-coding RNA (272 nucleotides) under plant metagenome. RNAcentral describes it as "partial contains small subunit ribosomal RNA and internal transcribed spacer 1". The record is from RNAcentral.
GGAAGUAAAAACAAGGUUUCCGUAGGUGAACCUGCGGAAGGAUCAUUAUCGAAAUACUUAUUUAGCGUUCCGUGCUAUCCCAUUGUUUUAUUUACCCUGUUGCUUCCACUGGAUGAGUUUCCAUACCUUGUGUUUGAGAAACUUUGGCUUGUGUAAGAUUCAUUCACGGCCAGCCAGUGAGAAGACCAUUUACAAAACCCUGUUAAGAACCAAUUGUCUGAAUAUUUUACUCCAAUGAAAUAAAACUUUCAACAACGGAUCUCUAGGCUCUU